RNAcentral lists this transfer RNA (74 nucleotides) under Andalucia godoyi. Its description in RNAcentral is "tRNA-Lys". It matches the Rfam family "tRNA". From Rfam's summary of the family: Transfer RNA (tRNA) molecules are approximately 80 nucleotides in length. The record is from RNAcentral. Lineage: Eukaryota; Jakobea; Jakobida; Andaluciidae.
GGGUGUAUAGCUCAGUUGGUUAGAGCAUCGGACUUUUAAUCCGGUGGUCUUGGGUUCGAGUCCCAAUACACCUA